GCCGCUUUGGCGUAACAGUAGCGUCGCCGGCCUGUACCCGGCGGGUGUCAGUGCAAAUCUGACAGGCGGCUCCA
This 74-nucleotide transfer RNA is filed under the name Kouleothrix aurantiaca. Its description in RNAcentral is "tRNA-Thr". Lineage: Bacteria; Bacillati; Chloroflexota; Chloroflexia; Chloroflexales; Roseiflexaceae. The record is from RNAcentral. RNAcentral also lists the same sequence under 1 other name.